This 73-nucleotide transfer RNA is filed under the name Trachymyrmex cornetzi. It matches the Rfam family "tRNA". Rfam says of the family: Transfer RNA (tRNA) molecules are approximately 80 nucleotides in length. Their secondary structure includes four short double-helical elements and three loops (D, anti-codon, and T loops). The record is from Rfam by way of RNAcentral. Lineage: Eukaryota; Metazoa; Arthropoda; Insecta; Hymenoptera; Formicidae.
GCCUCGGUAGUCUAAAGGCUUAGGACGCUCGCACGGAAUGCGAGAGAUCCGGGUUCAACUCCCGGCCGAGGUA